GAGGAUAUAGCUCAGUGGUAGAGUGCAUGUAUAGCAUACACGAGUUCGUGGGUUCAAUCCCCAGUACCUCCA
Molecule: transfer RNA, 72 nt
Filed under: Camelus dromedarius (Arabian camel)
Lineage: Eukaryota; Metazoa; Chordata; Mammalia; Artiodactyla; Camelidae
Also listed under: 1 other name
Rfam family: tRNA
About the family: Transfer RNA (tRNA) molecules are approximately 80 nucleotides in length. Their secondary structure includes four short double-helical elements and three loops (D, anti-codon, and T loops).
Source: Rfam by way of RNAcentral